GACGAACGCUGGCGGCGUGCUUAACACAUGCAAGUCGAACGAAAAUACCAAGCUUGCUUGGUUGAUUAGUGGCGAACGGGUGAGUAACACGUGAGUAACCUGCCCCUUACUUUCCUGGAUAACUGCUCGAAAGGGUAGCUAAUACGGGAUAUUCUGACCAGCCUGCAUGGGUUGGUUUGGAAAGGUUGUUUUUCUGGUAAGGGAUGGGCUCGCGGCCUAUCAGCUUGUUGGUGGGGUGAUGGCCUACCAAGGCUUUGACGGGUAGCCGGCCUGAGAGGGUGGACGGUCACACUGGGACUGGGAUACGGCCCAGACUCCUACGGGAGGCAGCAGUGGGGAAUAUUGCACAAUGGGCGCAAGCCUGAUGCAGCGACGCCGCGUGAGGGAUGAAGGCCUUCGGGUUGUAAACCUCUUUCGUCAGGGAACAAGGCACUGCUUUUUUGGUGGUGUUGAGGGUACCUGGAUAAGAAGCGCCGGCUAACUACGUG
This 488-nucleotide ribosomal RNA is filed under the name uncultured bacterium. RNAcentral describes it as "partial 16S ribosomal RNA". It matches the Rfam family "Bacterial small subunit ribosomal RNA", at positions 28 to 507 of the family's 1533-position model. The record is from RNAcentral.